This 1313-nucleotide long non-coding RNA is filed under the name Capra hircus (goat). Its description in RNAcentral is "lncRNA (ENSCHIG00010015228.1)". Lineage: Eukaryota; Metazoa; Chordata; Mammalia; Artiodactyla; Bovidae. The record is from RNAcentral.
AUGGCUGGGUCUCAGAGCGUCACCAGGAGGGGAUACUUGCCAACUGGCAAAGGCAUCUGUGGGCAGCACCCCCGCCCCUGUCCCCUCCCAAAUCUCUGGGGGCUGGAGGACGGUGGGAGGGACGGGAGUACAGUCCCUGUCGGCCCGAAGACGUUCUCACUGAGUUUUGAUACUUUCAGUUAUGAAAAAGUUCACACAAGAUACACACGUGUACGCACACCAGUAGAGCAGAGAGGAAUAGUACCUAAACAUUGGUCACUGAUUCGGUGGUUUAAGACAGAACCGUGGAAGGACUUUGCCGCUCUAGAAGUCCAGCGAAAGACUCACGCACUCCUCACACCUGGCCGGCUGCAGACUGAGGUCUGAGUGCGCCACCUGCCUCACGGUGCUUGGCGCCUUCUGACUGGUGUCUUCUGUCGUGUGGACGUACUACCGUUCAUCCAUUCAUAACGUUGACGGACACUGGGUGACUUCCAGUUUGGGGCUGGAAUAAAGCAGCUAUGAACGCUUGGGCACAAGUCUUUGCAUUUUCAUUUCUCAACGAGACAAGUUUUUGGUAAACGUCUUGCUUCAUCCUGAACGUCCUUCCCCGGAAUUGGGCUCUGUUUACACAGAAGAAACGUGUGCAGACGAGAGGCAAGACAAUCACCCACAGUCAAUUUGGAUUUCUGAUUUGGCAGUUAAGUCUCAGCUGAGAUAUGCUUCCGACUACUGAACAAGGUAUCAGAAGGCACAGACCCAGUUUCCACGCCAGUCCCUCAGCCCCACAGUUGCCCUCCUCAGGUGACACCACCCUUACCGAUUUCUUUUGUAACCAUCUAGAAAUGUCUUCUGCACAUAAAGCAUAUAUAGGCAGCUCCUUCUCUCACAUACGGUGCAUUCGUUUUUUAGAAAACACUUAUCCGGCCGGCCCAGAUCUCCGCUGUGGCUCCCAUAUCUCUGAUAUUCGUUGCAGCACGUGGGAUCUUUAGGUGCGGCGCGGGAUCUCCUGGUUGCGGCACGUGGGAUCUAGUUCCCUGACCAGACAGUGAACCCGGCUCUCUGUACUGGGAGUGCGGAGUCUUGGCCACUGGACCAGCAGGGAAGUCCCUACACACAGUGCGUUCCAUACAGUGUAGUCUCCUCGCUUGCUACAGUUUCUUUUAGAAGUUGAUCCCAUACUGGCACAUAUCGGGCCGUCUCUGGCUACUAAAAGAUAAGUGUUUCAUCUUCAGCCAACCAACUCACCCCUAGAAGGAUGUCGUAUUUUCACGUAGGUCAUGGAGUGGAGAAGGCAAUGGCACCCCACUCCAGUACUCUUGCCUAGAAAAUCC